AAAUUUACCAAAUAUGGGGAUAUUCCAGAUCUUUAUUACCCUCCUCCUGAUGCAAUAAGUCAUUACUAUAUUACACCAAAAAUGUUGCUAUAGAUGACUCUUAUGUUGCUAUAGAUGAUUCAUCUGUUGCAACAUGUGAUACAAAUGUUGCUAUAGAUGCCCAUAUAUGUCAACCGAUCACACAUUUGUAGCAACAUAUGGCAUAUAUGUGGCAACAUAUCACCCAUGUGUAUCAAGAAUGACACAUCUGUGGCAAUAUAUCACCCAUCUGUAGCAACAUAUAACAUAUUUGUGGCAGCAUAUGACCCAAUCAUUCUUACGGAUGACUCAUUUUAUAAUUUUAGAUUGUGCAUCCAUGAUUUGUCCCAAUAGAAAAUGAAUUGCAAAUGUCAUAUCUAAUUACUAUAGGGUUGGUUGGAAUCUUAUUUCAUCCUAUUGUCGAUAGAGUUAAAAUGAAAUUGGCUUGAGCAACAACCAUCAAAAGAGACAGAGUUGUUAAUGAAUUACUUGUGUUUUAUGGUAUUGAUGAUGGUGUUGAUGCUGGACAAGACCAAGGGACUACCUCUUGUAGAAGAUGUUGUGGCUUUCUCUGUGAGAAGUGCAAGAAACAAGAUGAAGAUUCUAUCGUGUAUCUUCAAACAUUGAGUCAAGAUGUAAAUGAAUUUAAAAACAAGAGGGGGUGGGGUCAAGGGAAUUCUAUCAAAGAAUGUUCUGCAAUCAUAUACACCACAUGCCAAGAGGAGGAAAAAUCCUUUGUCAAGGCAAUACAAAAUCUGAAGAACAAGAUGUUUGGAGAAUUGUCAAUGGUCGUAAUAGAAGAAGUGAAGAAGUACAAAAAGCUGACUAUUUAGAAGUGUGUGACUAUAGCGAAAAAAACCAAAGUGUUGAGUCUAACGAGUGCAAUGAAUGUUCAUAUACAAUAUGGCAUGCAUAUUUUUACAGGACAAGAUUUCGGGAACAUGACAAGCACGAAUGUUUGAUGGGAAUACGGUUAUAUUGAUGAAAUCUUUAACCUCACGCGUCAGAGACAUGAGACAUACCCGGAGUACUAUGACCCCAAAGAUAGAAUUCUAGAUCUCAACUUAUAUACCAACUUUUCAAAGAGAUAUGGAGAACUGAGCAACGAGACAAACAACAAUAGUUGGUGGUAGAAACUUUAAAUAGUUAGUAAAUGAGUUUGAAUGGUAUAAAGAUAUGAUUAACUAUGUCAGGGGCAUUAGGCCAUUUCUUGGAGGCAUGGAUUGGAUUGGUUCAAAAUGGAUUUUGACAGUCAUGAACCUGAAUAAAACCCAUUUAAUGACUCAUGAGAUAUUCUUACACGAGGGACGCAUGAAUGUUUAUGACUGACAGUUGAUGGGUAUGGAAUAUGCCGAGUUUUUGACAUACAAAUGACCUGUCUUCGAGUUGCUGCUCAAAUUGUUGAAGCAAAGUGGAAUAAUGAAGCAUUUGUCAGAUAAGUGUCUCAACGAACCAUGGAAAUUUAAAGUUCGAUUGGAACCCAUGGUAAAAAAUGAAACUGGAGCGGCAUGCAGGUCAUAUUCGCUUGCAUUCAUUGAGUAUUUGACUAGUGGGACAGAGAUUCAACCUCCCAAAACCAUGUUGUGUGAUAAUCUAGUUGGUCGAAUUCAGUGGGUUUGGGCUUAUGGGAUAGUAUCUCGGAGCUUAAAGCCUUGAUAAUGUGUUUGUAAUUAAAGACAAUGUUUUAUUUUAUCACUUAUGUUAUUUUAUCUUAUAUUGAGAGCAAGUACAUAGUAUGUGAGGUGGAUAGUUCUCAUAUGUAACAACAUAUACCUCAAAUGGACAAAUAUUAAUACAUAAGGGUGAUAUAUUGCAACAUA
Molecule: long non-coding RNA, 1838 nt
Organism: Solanum lycopersicum (tomato)
Lineage: Eukaryota; Viridiplantae; Streptophyta; Magnoliopsida; Solanales; Solanaceae
Source: RefSeq, a predicted model, not a curated record